UACGUAGGGGGCUAGCGUUGUCCGGAAUCAUUGGGCGUAAAGCGCGCGUAGGCGGCCCGGUAAGUCCGUUGUGAAAGUCAAAGGCUCAACCUUUGAAAGCCGAUGGAUACUGCCGGGCUGGAGUCCGGAAGAGGCGAGUGGAAUUCCUGGUGUAGCGGUGGAAUGCGCAGAUAUCAGGAGGAACACCAAUAGCGAAGGCAGCUCGCUGGGACGGUACUGACGCUGAGGCGCGAAAGCGUGGGGAGCGAACAGG
This 253-nucleotide ribosomal RNA is filed under the name uncultured bacterium. RNAcentral's name for it is "partial 16S ribosomal RNA". It matches the Rfam family "Bacterial small subunit ribosomal RNA", at positions 524 to 776 of the family's 1533-position model. The record is from RNAcentral.